Long non-coding RNA from Hemicordylus capensis (graceful crag lizard), 1788 nucleotides. RefSeq lists it as uncharacterized. Lineage: Eukaryota; Metazoa; Chordata; Lepidosauria; Squamata; Cordylidae. The record is from RefSeq and is a predicted model, not a curated record. The transcript is spliced from 5 exons.
AUAGCUCAGUUGUCUGUACACCUUGAAUGCCCAGAAUUUACUCCAAAAUUAAUUAUUUGCUGUUGAGAGUCUCAGAGUGCUGGACAGCAGCUCUACCUAGACAUCUGAAGAUUCAGCAAAAAGGGGAUUUGAAUGCAUACAUCUAGGAGAGCCGGGAGAGCUAUAUAAGAGUAACAGAGUAGCUGAUGAGGCUGUUGGAUACAGAGACCUGGGACAUCCAGCGUGGUGCCAAGAACUUGUGCCCUCCAAACUCAGCUGAAGACAAGCAUCUGGUAUUUGAUAUCAUCCCCAGAUGGAUCACUAGUGCCAUGCGCACAGUGCAGCUGUCCAUCUCUGGCACUCAGGGAGGAUGGGGAAUGUAACAACAGUAAAGCCCUAUUCAGACAUUAUGUUGUGCCUGCCAUCAGAUGUCUGAAUCCAGGUUCCAAAGCAGUUUACAUCGAGAAAUAAGAAAGAAAGAAAGAAAGAAAGAAAGAAAGAAAGAAAGAAAGAAAGAAAGAAAGAUGGAUCCAUGUCCCCGAAGGGCUCACAAUCUAAGAAGAAACAUGAUAGACACCAGCAACAGUCACUGGAGGUACUGUGCGGGAGGUGGAUAAGGCUACUUACUCUCCCCCCUGCUAAAUAGAAGAGAAUCACCAUGUUAAAAAGGUGCCUCUUUGCCCAGUUGGCAGGGGUUACUUGCCAUACAUGUACUUGUCCCUUUAUUCCAUGACUGCUACAUUUCCUCAAGGCUCUUUGAUGAGGAACUUUGUUGAAAGCUUUUUGGAAGUCCAGGUAUACUAUGUCAACCAGAUCACCUUUAUCCACACACUUGUUGACACUCUCAAGAACUCCAAAAGGUUUGUGAGGCAAGAUUUACCUUUGCAGAAGCCAUUCUUGUUCUCCCCCAGCAGGGCCUGUUCUUCUAUGUGCUUAACAAUUUUAGCCUUGAGAAUGUUUUCCAUCAUUUUGCCUGGAACAAACAUUAAGCUAACCGGCCUGUAAUUUCCUGGAUUGCCCCUGAAUCCCUUUUUGAAAACUGGUGUUACAUUUGCUACUUUCCAGGUCCCCAGUACAGAGCUCGAUUGUAGGGAUAAGUUAUAUAUUUUUGCAAGGAGGUCGGCAAUUUCACAUUUGAGUUCCACCCUUGGAUGGAUGCCGUCUGGUCCUGGCGAUUUGCUAGUUUUUAAUUUUUCCAGUUUAGAACAUCAUCUCCUGUAAAAAGCCUGGAUCAGGAACAGGUAUAUGCUUAGUAUUUUCUGCCAUGAAGUAUUUUCUGCCAUGAUGCAAAGAACUCAUUAGCUUCUGCGCAACCUCCAUAUCCUCCUUAAUAAUCCACUCCCUCAUUGUCUAAUGGUCCAACCGCCUCCCUGGUUUGUUUCCUUCUUCUGAUGUAUUUAAAGAAGUUUUUGUUAUCCCCCUUGAUGCUUUUAGCUAAAUGUACGUCUCUUUUUGACUCACUUAUUGUCACCUUGCAUUUCUUUUGCCAGAGUUUGUGUUCCUGUCUGUUCUCUUCAUUUGGACAGGCCUUCCAGUUUUGGAAGGAAGUCUUCUUCUCCUUUAUGGCAUCCUUGACUUUACCUGUUAGCCAUGCUGGCAUCCUCCUGGACUUAGUGGUACCUUUCCUCCUUUUUUGGUAUACAUUCUAACUGGGCUUCUACUAUUGUGGUUUUGAGUAAACUCCAUGCAUUCUGGAGUGAAGUGACUCUCUCAAUUUUCCCUUUCAGUUUUCUUUUCACCAUACUCCUCAUUUGGGAGAAGUUUCCUCUUCAGAAAUUCAAAGUGUCUGUGUUAGACUUCCUUGGUGAU